This 542-nucleotide ribosomal RNA is filed under the name Salinibacterium sp. SWN139. RNAcentral describes it as "bacterial SSU rRNA". It matches the Rfam family "Bacterial small subunit ribosomal RNA", at positions 1 to 538 of the family's 1533-position model. Lineage: Bacteria; Bacillati; Actinomycetota; Actinomycetes; Micrococcales; Microbacteriaceae. The record is from RNAcentral.
UAAUUGAAGAGUUUGAUCAUGGCUCAGAUUGAACGCUGGCGGCAGGCCUAACACAUGCAAGUCGAGCGGUAACAGAAAGUAGCUUGCUACUUUGCUGACGAGCGGCGGACGGGUGAGUAAUGCUUGGGAACAUGCCUUGAGGUGGGGGACAACAGUUGGAAACGACUGCUAAUACCGCAUAAUGUCUACGGACCAAAGGGGGCUUCGGCUCUCGCCUUUAGAUUGGCCCAAGUGGGAUUAGCUAGUUGGUGAGGUAAUGGCUCACCAAGGCGACGAUCCCUAGCUGGUUUGAGAGGAUGAUCAGCCACACUGGGACUGAGACACGGCCCAGACUCCUACGGGAGGCAGCAGUGGGGAAUAUUGCACAAUGGGCGCAAGCCUGAUGCAGCCAUGCCGCGUGUGUGAAGAAGGCCUUCGGGUUGUAAAGCACUUUCAGUCAGGAGGAAAGCGUGGUGGUUAAUACCCAUCAUGUGUGACGUUACUGACAGAAGAAGCACCGGCUAACUCCGUGCCAGCAGCCGCGGUAAUACGGAGGGUGCGAG